CCUACGGGGGGCUGCAGUGGGGAAUAUUGGACAAUGGGGGGAACCCUGAUCCAGCCAUGCCGCGUGUGUGAAGAAGGCCCUCGGGUUGUAAAGCACUUUCAGUGAGGAAGAACGCCUGGUGGUUAAUACCCAUCAGGAAAGACAUCACUCACAGAAGAAGCACCGGCUAACUCCGUGCCAGCAGCCGCGGUAAUACGGAGGGUGCGAGCGUUAAUCGGAAUUACUGGGCGUAAAGCGCGCGUAGGUGGCUUGAUAAGCCGGUUGUGAAGGCCCCGGGCUCAACCUGGGAACGGCAUCCGGAACUGUCAAGCUAGAGUGCAGGAGAGGAAGGUAGAAUUCCAGGUGUAGCGGUGAAAUGCGUAGAGAUCGGGAGGAAUACCAGUGGCGAAGGCGGCCUUCUGGACUGACACUGACACUGAGGUGCGAAAGCGUGGGUAGCAAACAGGAUUAGAUACCCUAGUAGUC
This 465-nucleotide ribosomal RNA is filed under the name Vreelandella stevensii. RNAcentral's name for it is "partial 16S ribosomal RNA". It matches the Rfam family "Bacterial small subunit ribosomal RNA", at positions 338 to 795 of the family's 1533-position model. The record is from RNAcentral. Lineage: Bacteria; Pseudomonadati; Pseudomonadota; Gammaproteobacteria; Oceanospirillales; Halomonadaceae.